CCUACGGGUGGCAGCAGUGGGGAAUAUUGGGCAAUGGGCGCAAGCCUGACCCAGCCACGCCGCGUGAAGGAAGAAGGCUUUCGGGUUGUAAACUUCUUUUCUCAGGGACGAAAAAGGUGACGGUACCUGAGUAAUAAGCCACUGCUAACUACGUGCCAGCAGCCGCGGUAAUACGUAGGUGGCAGUCAUUAGCCGGAUUUAGUGGGUGUAAAGGGCGUGUAGGCGGGAGCGCAAGUCAGAUGUGAAAACUCAGGGCUCAACCCUGGGCCUGCAUUUGAAACUGUGUUUCUUGAGUGCUGGAGAGGUAAGCGGAAUGCCUGGUGUAGCGGUGAAAUGCGUAGAUAUACGGAGGAACACCAGUUGCGAAGGCGGAUUGCGGGACAGUAACUGACGCUGAGGCGCGAAAGCGUGGGGAGCAAACAGGAUUAGAUACCCCAGUAGUC
This 443-nucleotide ribosomal RNA is filed under the name uncultured bacterium. RNAcentral's name for it is "partial 16S ribosomal RNA". It matches the Rfam family "Bacterial small subunit ribosomal RNA", at positions 338 to 795 of the family's 1533-position model. The record is from RNAcentral.